CCUACGCGGGGCAGCAGUGAGGAAUAUUGGUCAAUGGCCGGAAGGCUUAACCAGCCAAGUCGCGUGAGGGACGACUGCCCUAUGGGUUGUAAACCUCUUUUAUAAGGGAAGAAUAAAUGCUACGUGUAGCAUGAUGCCUGUACCUUAUGAAUAAGCAUCGGCUAACUCCGUGCCAGCAGCCGCGGUAAUACGGAGGAUGCGAGCGUUAUCCGGAUUUAUUGGGUUUAAAGGGUGCGUAGGCGGUUUUUUAAGUUAUUGGUUAAACGUCGGGGCUUCACCUUGAUUUGCCAUUAAUACUGUAAGACUCGAGUUCAGACGAGGUAGGCGGAAUAAGUUAAGUAGCGGUGAAAUGCUUAGAUAUAACUUAGAACUCCGAUAGCGAAGGCAGCUUACCAGACUGCAACUGACGCUGAAGCACGAGAGCGUGGGUAGCGAACAGGAUUAGAGACCCGGGUAGUC
RNAcentral lists this ribosomal RNA (459 nucleotides) under uncultured bacterium. RNAcentral's name for it is "partial 16S ribosomal RNA". It matches the Rfam family "Bacterial small subunit ribosomal RNA", at positions 338 to 795 of the family's 1533-position model. The record is from RNAcentral.